Molecule: ribosomal RNA, 546 nt
Filed under: uncultured bacterium
Lineage: Bacteria
Description: bacterial SSU rRNA
Rfam family: Bacterial small subunit ribosomal RNA
Source: RNAcentral
GGACGGUAGCGUUACCAGAAAGGGACGGCUAACGUACGUGCCAGCAGCCGCGGUAAUACGUAGGUCCCGAGCGUUGUCCGGAUUUAUUGGGCGUUAAAGCGAGCGCAGGCGGUUUGAUAAGUCUGAAGUUAAAGGCUGUGGCUCAACCAUAGUUCGCUUUGGAAACUGUCAAACUAGAGUGCAGUAGGGGAGACUGGAAUUCCUGGUGUAGCGGUGGAAUGCGCAGAUAUCAGGAGGAACACCGAUGGCGAAGGCAGGUCUCUGGGCUGUAACUGACGCUGAGGAGCGAAAGCAUGGGGAGCGAACAGGAUUAGAUACCCUGGUAGUCCAUGCCGUAAACGUUGGGCACUAGGUGUGGGGACCAUUCCACGGUUUCCGCGCCGCAGCUAACGCAUUAAGUGCCCCGCCUGGGGAGUACGGCCGCAAGGCUAAAACUCAAAGGAAUUGACGGGGGCCCGCACAAGCGGCGGAGCAUGCGGAUUAAUUCGAUGCAACGCGAAGAACCUUACCAAGGCUUGACAUGUUCUCGAUCGCCGUAGAGAUACG